GACGAACGCUGGCGGCGUGCCUAAUACAUGCAAGUUGAGCGCUGAAGGUUGGUACUUGUACCAACUGGAUUAGCAGCGAACGGGUGAGUAACGCGUGGGUAAUCUGCCUUUAAGCCUGGGACAACAUUUGGAAACGAAUGCUAAUACCGCAUAAAAACUUUAAACACAAGUUUUAAGUUUGAAAGAUGCAUUUGCAUUACACAAUGAUGAUCCCGCGUUGUAUUAGCUAGUUGGUGAGGUAAAGGCUCACCAAGGCGAUGAUACAUAGCCGACCUGAGAGGGAGAACGGCCAAAAUGGGACCGAGGAAAAGCUCAAGACGCUUCGGGAGGGAGGAGUAAGGAAUCUUCGGCAAAGGACGAAAGUCUGACCGAACAAACCCGCGGGGAUGAAGGAGGGUUUCGGGUCGGAAAAAUGUGGUGAUAGGGAAAGAAGAUAGUGAGAGUGGACAGCGCAUCAAGUGACGGUAACUAAGCAGAAAGGGACGGCUAACUACGUG
RNAcentral lists this ribosomal RNA (497 nucleotides) under uncultured bacterium. RNAcentral describes it as "partial 16S ribosomal RNA". It matches the Rfam family "Bacterial small subunit ribosomal RNA", at positions 28 to 507 of the family's 1533-position model. The record is from RNAcentral.